This is a long non-coding RNA of Tupaia belangeri chinensis (Chinese tree shrew), 372 nucleotides long. RefSeq lists it as uncharacterized. NCBI's taxonomy places the organism in Eukaryota, Metazoa, Chordata, Mammalia, Scandentia, Tupaiidae. The transcript is spliced from 3 exons. The record is from RefSeq and is a predicted model, not a curated record.
UUGCCUGGUCCCCUGCCUUGAAAGCCAGCAACAGAGCUGAGAUCUCCUCACUGCCUCACUCUUCUUUUCUCUCUCCCGUUCAGCAACCCCAGUGAUCACAGAGGGUCCCUCCAGGCAGCCCAGCAUAAUCUUCCCAUCUUGAGGUUCUCUGAUCAGCACCCUUACCUUUGCCAGAAUCCAGGUCCCUUGCACCUGUAUGUCUGCUCUGGAAGAUGCUGAACCCCACUACGUGAAUUAUGAAAACAGACGACUUCAUUCUCCAACUUUGUGAUGCAGUUUGAAAAUGACGACCCCCAGGCAGGCCGAGCUCGUACAUGCCUCAGGACCUUAGCAUCUGCCACACUGCUUCUUCCUGAAAUGCCUUCCCGGAGG